RNAcentral lists this ribosomal RNA (390 nucleotides) under Triticum aestivum (bread wheat). RNAcentral's name for it is "partial small subunit ribosomal RNA". Lineage: Eukaryota; Viridiplantae; Streptophyta; Magnoliopsida; Poales; Poaceae. The record is from RNAcentral.
GAGUUCAUAAACGGAUUAAACACGCAGCAAAGGAUGUACAUCCAGUUGAUAGGACUGGGUGGACUUCUCAAGAAACCUAGCAUCAAAAUUAGACGUGUACUCUGCCUGGCCAUUGUUAAUUCAUAUGAUGCAGAGCAGGAUGCCUUUAUCAUCAAUGGGAGACCAUGUAGGAUCACACUAGAAGAUGUAGCGCAUAUAACAGGCAUGCCCUGCCAUGGGAAGAAGCACGUCCCUUCAAAUCUUGAUGAUAAUAUGGAGUUGUGGAAGAAACUGAAAGACCGUAAUGACACCAAAAUAACUUUUAAAGGGUUGCUAGCCAAGAUGAAAGUCGACAGCACACCAAAUUUUGUCAGGCCAUUUGUCUUGUACACCAUAGGCAAAUAUGUAUGA